CUCGCCCUCAAGCGCCUCAAAGCUUCCUAAGCGCUUACAUUGGUCUUGGGACAGCCGACUUUGGCUUCUUUGUUUGUUUGAGGGACCGCGGAAGUGGCGGGGAAUGUGCCCCCGCUUGAGACCGCUUAUUGUGAGCCCUCAACGGAAAUCCUGCACGGAAGGCAACCGCCUCCCCGCUCGCGUUAGAAGGCUUCAUUUGCUCUGAGUUAUCAUUGAGAACUAAAUGGAGAAGAAAAGAACUGAAGGCCUGAAGAUAUGUCAUCUGUAGAAAAGAUGGACAUCUGAAAUCAUCAAACCCUUGAGAGAAACAGCCCUCAUUCUUUUAUGAGACAACCUGGAAGAAAACAGGACUCUGAAGAUUUGUCUCCAUAUUCUCUGGAAAGAUGUACUCUGUUUGCAAUAAGAGGGAGCCACAUGGUUUAUUAGAUGGUUAUUAAUUGAGCAUUCUGUGCAAAGAAGUUUGUGCCUUAGUUAUAUUGAAAAGAAGAAAAUCUCUCCAGUUUCAGAAACACUGGCCUUUUGGAUACUGAGGAGUUGGAAAUGGAAAGGGGAUUUUAAUGAGUUUCUCGGCAAUGAGGCUAGAGAAAAUAUUAUCCAUCUCCCCCUGUUCUCCAAUUCAGCAGCUCGGACUCCUGUUUUCAUCACAGUCCUGUUAGAUAAUUACAGCCCCAAAGGCCUCCUGUUCCUUCUUUCUGUGUUCCCUGAAUCUUCUUUCCCAGAGCCAGGACCUCUUGGAAAUUCUCAGCCUCUGUUAGUUGCCCGCUCUGGGAGCCCGACUCCUCACAUCCGUCAUCUCUUUCUUCUCCCCCUUCACCUGCUGUAGUGUCCCCACUGUCUCUCUUUACCUCAGCUCCUUACCAUUCCUUUCCCUCUACACCCUUUUCCUUUGGUUCAUAGUCAGGAUGUGCUAGUUGCAUUCAAGCCCUUUUUGAUACUAAGAAUUCAGGGGGACAAAUCCAAACCCUGGAGACUACUGUCUUCCCCUUAGUGAUGCUAAUGAAUAUAAUUCCUGAUCUGAAAUUACCUGCACUUUAUUUGGCUCCAUCUACUUUUCUGCCACUUACUCCCUGUAUAACCAUAGGCUACGUACCCUACCUCUCUCUGGGUUUGUUUACUCCUCAGUUAAAAGGAGGAUUAAAAUGGCAAUCACAACACCUUGCUACAGAUAUGUUAGGAAGAUUAAAUGGGAUAACAUGCAGGGUGCCUAGCCUUCCUGGCAUAUAGUAAAUGCCUAUAAAAUAUAACAAGUGUCAUGUAUUAUUAUUAAAUUGUAUCUACCUGGUAGAAACUAA
This is a long non-coding RNA of Homo sapiens (human), 1292 nucleotides long. Ensembl annotates it as long intergenic non-protein coding RNA 1210. NCBI's taxonomy places the organism in Eukaryota, Metazoa, Chordata, Mammalia, Primates, Hominidae. The record is from Ensembl.